RNAcentral lists this unclassified non-coding RNA (392 nucleotides) under uncultured fungus. RNAcentral describes it as "partial contains 5.8S ribosomal RNA and internal transcribed spacer 2". The stretch from base 1 to 133 matches the Rfam family "5.8S ribosomal RNA", at positions 22 to 154 of the family's 154-position model. Lineage: Eukaryota; Fungi. The record is from RNAcentral.
UGGCUCUCGCAUCGAUGAAGAACGCAGCGAAAUGCGAUAAGUAAUGUGAAUUGCAGAAUUCAGUGAAUCAUCGAAUCUUUGAACGCACCUUGCGCCCCCUGGCAUUCCGGGGGGCAUGCCUGUUUGAGUGUCAUGUUAAUCUCAAGCCGCCUGUCUUUCUUAAUUGAAGACUCGAGGUUUGGACUUGGAGGUCCUAUUGCUGGCCAUGGUUUGGCCGGCUCCUCUGAAAUGCAUGAGCUGGACUUUGGCUCGCGUUUACGGUGUAAUAGUGACUAUUUUCACCAGAGCGCCUGCCUGAAGGGUCUGCUUCUAAUUGUCCUCUAUGGACAAGGAUCCCCUUAGUGGGCCUUCUUGACACCUUUGACCUCAAAUCAGGUAGGAUUACCCGCUGA